Pipistrellus kuhlii (Kuhl's pipistrelle) is the source of this 188-nucleotide long non-coding RNA. RefSeq lists it as uncharacterized. NCBI's taxonomy places the organism in Eukaryota, Metazoa, Chordata, Mammalia, Chiroptera, Vespertilionidae. The record is from RefSeq and is a predicted model, not a curated record. The transcript is spliced from 3 exons.
UGCCCUUAGAAAUGAUUAAAGGUGGGAUUUUAUGUGUAUGUUACUAUGUAGGAAAUGGACCUCUGUGAUCCAUCUUCAGCAUGGUCAGCUUUUGAUGGAAUUGGCUGAAUUUCCCCAGGGCAAACAGAAAGAAGGGAGGAGGGAAGAGGAUACAGGAACAAAGAACUGUGCUUGUGGGCCAGCAUCAU